ACAUGUCUUUUUGGUUAUUUAAUAUAAAGUCUGACCUGCCCACUGAAUAUAAUUUUAAAGGGCCGCAGUAUUUUGACUGUGCAAAGGUAGCAUAAUCAUUAGUCUUUUAAUUGAAGGCUGGUAUGAAUGGUUGGAUGAGGUACAAGCUGUGUCAUAAAAAUUAAUAUUUGAAUUUACCUUUUUAGUCAAAAGGCUAAAAUUUUAUUAAAAGACGAGAAGACCCUAUAGAGCUUUAUAUAGUUAAUAUUUAGAUUAUUAAUAUUUUUUAAAUUUAAUUAUUUUAUUAUAUUUUGUUGGGGUGACAAUAAAAUUUAUAAAACUUUUAUUAUUAUUAUUCAUUAAUUUAUGUUUAAAUGAUCCAAUUUUAUUGAUUAUAAAUUUAAGUUACCUUAGGGAUAACAGCGUAAUUUUUUUUGAGAGUUCUUAUCAACAAAAAAGUUUGCGACCUCGAUGUUGGAUUAAGAUUAAUUUUGGGUGUAGAAGUUCAAAGUUUAAGUCUGUUCGACUUUUAAAUU
This 515-nucleotide ribosomal RNA is filed under the name Simulium nobile. Its description in RNAcentral is "partial 16S ribosomal RNA". It matches the Rfam family "Bacterial large subunit ribosomal RNA", at positions 1815 to 2594 of the family's 2925-position model. Lineage: Eukaryota; Metazoa; Arthropoda; Insecta; Diptera; Simuliidae. The record is from RNAcentral.